CACCUCCAAGAUGUGCAAACUCCCAAGCUUGGAGAAAAGAUGAACCCUGCCCAUCUCCUCUGUCUGUCCCAGGGACCUGGAGACACAGGCAUCCCUUCCUGGAAGCCCCACAGGAGGAGGAAGAGGAGGAGGAUAAAUAUGAGCUGCCCCCCUGUGAGGCUCUGCUCCGCCACCUUGCCCCUGCCCAAC
Non-coding RNA from Odocoileus virginianus texanus, 189 nucleotides. Lineage: Eukaryota; Metazoa; Chordata; Mammalia; Artiodactyla; Cervidae. The record is from RefSeq and is a predicted model, not a curated record.